ACCUUGUUGACGAGUGCUAAGUAGCACGAAACCCGGGUCCAAGGU
Molecule: non-coding RNA, 45 nt
Filed under: Schistosoma mansoni
Lineage: Eukaryota; Metazoa; Platyhelminthes; Trematoda; Strigeidida; Schistosomatidae
Source: RNAcentral